Paramuricea clavata is the source of this 282-nucleotide non-coding RNA. NCBI's taxonomy places the organism in Eukaryota, Metazoa, Cnidaria, Anthozoa, Malacalcyonacea, Plexauridae. The record is from the annotation of a GenBank genome assembly.
UCCACUUCAAAUUUUAAUUACGUCUGGUUCCGCAAUAUCGCAUACCACAAACAAAUAUAUCAUAAAUAACUGAACACAAACCAGCAAUAAAUACCAUCUCACGAUGUUAAAUUGUGUUGUAAUUACAUGUGACUACAGUAAAAUACUUACAGUAUUUACAAGAGAUCUGUCAUGCGGCACAUUUGCUUGAGUUCGUGUGAACUUUGGCAAAUAUACAACCAACAAUAACCAAGCAUGUUGCCACGCAUAUGACCGAGUCACCCGUUAACAACUUGUGUAUUG